RNAcentral lists this ribosomal RNA (450 nucleotides) under uncultured bacterium. Its description in RNAcentral is "bacterial SSU rRNA". It matches the Rfam family "Bacterial small subunit ribosomal RNA", at positions 354 to 796 of the family's 1533-position model. The record is from RNAcentral.
UUGGGGAAUAUUGGACAAUGGGCGAAAGCCUGAUCCAGCCAUGCCGCGUGUGUGAAGAAGGUCUUCGGAUUGUAAAGCACUUUAAGUUGGGAGGAAGGGUAGUAACCUAAUACGUUGCUACUUUGACGUUACCGACAGAAUAAGCACCGGCUAACUACGUGCCAGCAGCCGCGGUAAUACGUAGGGUGCAAGCGUUAAUCGGAAUUACUGGGCGUAAAGCGUGCGCAGGCGGUUUUGUAAGUUGGAGGUGAAAUCCCCGGGCUCAACCUGGGAACUGCCUCCAAAACUGCAUGACUAGAGUACGGUAGAGGGUAGUGGAAUUUCCUGUGUAGCGGUGAAAUGCGUAGAUAUAGGAAGGAACACCAGUGGCGAAGGCGACUACCUGGACUGAUACUGACACUGAGGUGCGAAAGCGUGGGGAGCAAACAGGAUUAGAUACCCGUGUAGUCC